RNAcentral lists this long non-coding RNA (1258 nucleotides) under Vigna radiata. Its description in RNAcentral is "long non-coding RNA (VRAD_LNC012376)". Lineage: Eukaryota; Viridiplantae; Streptophyta; Magnoliopsida; Fabales; Fabaceae. The record is from RNAcentral.
UUUUUUUGACAUUAAAGGCCAAAAACACACAGACGUCAAAAGCCUUUUUUACAUUAGUGAGAAGAGAAGAAAAUGAAAAUGAGGAGAAGAAGGAUGAGGAAGUCAGAGUCGAUGACAAUAACAAAGGUGCAAUGAUCAUUUGGUGGUGAUGCUAAAAUGUAGUGGUAAUGCAGAGACAUGACGAUGGAGACUGUUGGAGUUAAAGGAGGUGUAGGAGUAAGAGGGGAGUUAGAAAAGGUGUAGGAGUAAAAGGAAGAGGAAGAGAAAUAAGAAGAUGAGGAGGCAUAAGAGGAGAAGAAAGAGAUUAAGUCAGAGGUGACAUUGGUUGAUGUGAUCAUUGAAGCACAGUGAGGAGAUGAGGAGGAAGAAUGAUAGACUAGGCCCAAGCCCAAUUAUCUUAGUGUAGUAUUUCUUUUAUUUUUAUUAAAGCAUGUGUAAAAGGUGUUAGGCAUGUGGUAGAUAGGAGGGACUUUUAGUCCUAUAUAUAGACAUGCCACCACCUCUUGUAAAUCACUUUUGAUCAUAUUGAAUUGUUAUUCUGUUGAGAAAACUCCAGAACAAUUCUACCUUGAAAGUCAAGGCUAGAGAAUCCUAAAGGAUCUCCUCUAGUUGCCUUCCAUCUCACACUUCCAUUUCUCUCAUUUCCCAUCAACAUUCUCACUCCUCCACCUAAACACCAUACGCCACUCUUGCCAAUCCGCUUCAGCCUCGUGGACGACUUAAGCCCUCACUACCACACGUGCCUUUUCUCUCUGGAGAGUCCAUCAACAUAUCCUUACAUCUUCACAUCUCGCUGCCACACUCGUAAGUCACAUCUCCAUUCCCUAUUUCCACGCUCAAAACCUAUUUCCAUUCUCUCUCCUCGAUGAUCUCCAUUGUUGACCUCGCCCUCACAAAUAUCAACUCCAUCACGAAUCCAAGUCUAGGACAACCUCUUCCAUCAGGUUUGUAAUCAAUCCACCGAUUGAUUUCGAUCUUGCACCUCAUUCUUUCUUAGAUCAUCUUUCCCUUAUCUUUACCCGAUUAGAACCACAUUUACGUUCUAUUUCACUGAUUGAAAUAUGGUUUUAGCCAUUUCCACCGAUUAAACCACCAUACAACACCUGAUCUUGAAUCUCCACUGAACAAUCCUCGAAUCUAGGGCUUGUUCAUUAUUGUUCCUCUUCGGCUACAAAACCUAGGGUUCCUCGUUUUAGUUGCUUCUUCCGCUGCUUCUCGAUUUAUUAGCUUGGUUCGCGCCAGGUUCUAUGAUUCCUUG